This 351-nucleotide ribosomal RNA is filed under the name uncultured Escherichia sp. RNAcentral describes it as "bacterial SSU rRNA". It matches the Rfam family "Bacterial small subunit ribosomal RNA", at positions 1 to 354 of the family's 1533-position model. The record is from RNAcentral. Lineage: Bacteria; Pseudomonadati; Pseudomonadota; Gammaproteobacteria; Enterobacterales; Enterobacteriaceae.
UAGAGUUUGAUCCUGGCUCAGAUUGAACGCUGGCGGCAGGCCUAACACAUGCAAGUCGAACGGUAACAGGAAGAAGCUUGCUUCUUUGCUGACGAGUGGCGGACGGGUGAGUAAUGUCUGGGAAACUGCCUGAUGGAGGGGGAUAACUACUGGAAACGGUAGCUAAUACCGCAUAACGUCGCAAGACCAAAGAGGGGGACCUUCGGGCCUCUUGCCAUCGGAUGUGCCCAGAUGGGAUUAGCUAGUAGGUGGGGUAACGGCUCACCUAGGCGACGAUCCCUAGCUGGUCUGAGAGGAUGACCAGCCACACUGGAACUGAGACACGGUCCAGACUCCUACGGGAGGCAGCAG